UAAACUGUCAUUCAAGAGUUAGGAUGAAGUAAAAAAAAAAAAUCAGACUAAUGGGAGUUUCUUACCCAUAGACUUUCUUGAAAGAACUACUAACAGAGGUACUUCAACAUAAAGAAAAGGCAAGAGUGUAAGAGUCUGGUGUGAGAAAAAAUAGCAUGAUAAAAAGGCAGAAUCAAACUACAGCCAACUUAUGGUGAGGAGCUCUUCAAACCAUUACUGAAAUUGCCAUUAAGAUACACCUGCUGCACAAGGCAGAAGAAUUAUUUUCACAUCAGCUGCUUUAUCCUGGCUACAUGGACAGAACCAACACAUUGAAGACCAAGUUUAAUUCAUUCAUCCCCAAGAGGAACAUAAAGACUCUCUGUUGUGAUACUAAAUUCAAAAGUAUACUCCAAUCAAAAAUAGUUUUGCUUUAUCUUUUAUGCAUACAUACAACACCAUAAUAUAUAUUCAGCAAAGAUGUAUUACUGUUUCUGUCGUAUCCAAGGAUAUAAAACACAUAGCUAUUCCAGUGAUGGCGCCUUUCAGUUCUUUCUGUAAAGCUUGUUUGUACAUGUAUGUUUUCAUGGACAGACUGCAAGUUAAAAAGUUUAUAUUCUGUCAUUUUCAGUGUCAAAUGCAUCCAAUAUCAAACAUAUCAAGGCUGAUCACAUCAUUAUAAAUUGCUGAUAAGGCUUCUUGUUACCCUUCUAUCACCACUGUCACAAAUUACCACAAACUUAGUGGCUUAUAACAUCCAUUUAUUAUCUCCCAGUUUCAUGCUGAGAUGUCUAAGCACAAGGAGACUCAGUCAGAUCCACUGUGCAGAGCUUCACAAGGUCUAAAUCAAAAUGCUGGCUGAGCUGGCCUCUUAUCUAGAAGCUCUGGGGAAGACUCUGCUUCCAUAGACCAUCAGGUCGUUGGAAGAAUUCAGUUCCUUGUCAUUUUAAUUCAUUUUUAAACGAACUAGAGCAUGUUGAAUCCCUGUUCUUAAAAUCUCUGAUGUCGUCUUCUGCUACCAGCCAGAGAAAAAUCUUGUAAGGACUCAUGUGAUUAUAUUAGGUCCACUUGGAUAAUCCAGGAUAAUCUUACAAUAUUACAGUCAAGUAACUGAUACUUUUACUUAGAUCUUCAAGAUCCCUUUCACUCUGUA
This is a long non-coding RNA of Acinonyx jubatus (cheetah), 1132 nucleotides long. RefSeq lists it as uncharacterized. NCBI's taxonomy places the organism in Eukaryota, Metazoa, Chordata, Mammalia, Carnivora, Felidae. The transcript has 3 exons. The record is from RefSeq and is a predicted model, not a curated record.